AGUGAACGCUGGCGGUAGGCCUAACACAUGCAAGUCGAACGGCAGCACAGUAAGAGCUUGCUCUUACGGGUGGCGAGUGGCGGACGGGUGAGGAAUACAUCGGAAUCUACUUUUUCGUGGGGGAUAACGUAGGGAAACUUACGCUAAUACCGCAUACGACCUACGGGUGAAAGCAGGGGAUCUUCGGACCUUGCGCGAUUGAAUGAGCCGAUGUCGGAUUAGCUAGUUGGCGGGGUAAAGGCCCACCAAGGCGACGAUCCGUAGCUGGUCUGGGAGGAUGAUCAGCCACACUGGAACUGAGACACGGUCCAGACUCCUACGGGAGGCAGCAGUGGGGAAUAUUGGACAAUGGGCGCAAGCCUGAUCCAGCCAUACCGCGUGGGUGAAGAAGGCCCUCGGGUUGUAAAGCCCUUUUGUUGGGAAAGAAAAGCAGCAGGUUAAUACCCCGCUGUUCUGGCGGUACCCAAAGAAUAAGCACCGGCUAACUUCGUG
This 492-nucleotide ribosomal RNA is filed under the name uncultured bacterium. Its description in RNAcentral is "partial 16S ribosomal RNA". It matches the Rfam family "Bacterial small subunit ribosomal RNA", at positions 29 to 507 of the family's 1533-position model. The record is from RNAcentral.